GGUUAAGUGACUAAGCGUACACGGUGGAUGCCUUGGCAGUCAGAGGCGAUGAAGGACGUAUUAACUUGCGAUAAGCCCAGAUUAGGUAGUAAAAACCAUUUGAGUCUGGGAUUUCCGAAUGGGGAAACCCAAUACCAUAAGGUAUUACUGUUGAGUGAAUACAUAGCUCAACAGGGCGAACCGGGGGAACUGAAACAUCUAAGUACCCCGAGGAAAAGAAAUCAACCGAGAUUCCGAAAGUAGCGGCGAGCGAAAUUGGACUAGCCCUUAAGCUUUACACGCGUUAGACGAAC
Molecule: ribosomal RNA, 293 nt
Filed under: Vibrio alginolyticus
Lineage: Bacteria; Pseudomonadati; Pseudomonadota; Gammaproteobacteria; Vibrionales; Vibrionaceae
Also listed under: 1 other name
Description: partial 23S ribosomal RNA
Rfam family: Bacterial large subunit ribosomal RNA
Source: RNAcentral